ACUUAAAUAAUUUAAAUAAAAUAUUGAUGUGUGGAGUCAAAAAUAUGAGAAUUUCAUUUUAAGUU
This 65-nucleotide transfer RNA is filed under the name Eugnosta dives. RNAcentral describes it as "tRNA-His". The record is from RNAcentral. Lineage: Eukaryota; Metazoa; Arthropoda; Insecta; Lepidoptera; Tortricidae.